AUGAAUUCCGUCUCUCCAUCGAUUGCUCGGAUGAUUGAAGCAAUUGCAAGUGCAGCAGCGAUUUGGAAAACGUUGAGCAAUAUGUACUCUGGGGCUGGCAAUGUGAUGAUGAUGGUGGAGGUCCAGAGUAAGGUGGAUGAACUCAAGCAAGGGGAGAAAACUGUCCAAGAGUACGCCAGUGAGCUGCAGCAACUGUGGUCUGAUUUGGACCACUACGAUCCAUUGCAAUUGACAUGUUCUAGUGAUAUUGAGGCUGGUGAGGCUUGGCAGCAACGUAGAAGGGUUACACACUUCUUAAAGGGGCUGAAACAGAGUUUGAGCCAAGGAGGGCUGCCAUGUUUCACCAGACAACAUUGCCUACUAUGGAAGAGGCAAUUUCAGCAACGGUCCAGGAGGAGAUUUGCUUGCGGAUGA
Molecule: ribosomal RNA, 414 nt
Filed under: Triticum aestivum (bread wheat)
Lineage: Eukaryota; Viridiplantae; Streptophyta; Magnoliopsida; Poales; Poaceae
Description: partial small subunit ribosomal RNA
Source: RNAcentral